RNAcentral lists this ribosomal RNA (253 nucleotides) under uncultured bacterium. RNAcentral describes it as "partial 16S ribosomal RNA". It matches the Rfam family "Bacterial small subunit ribosomal RNA", at positions 524 to 776 of the family's 1533-position model. The record is from RNAcentral.
UACGGAGGGUGCAAGCGUUAAUCGGAAUUAUUGGGCGUAAAGGGCGCGUAGACGGGAAGGCAAGUCAGAUGUUAAAGCCCGGGGCUUAACCCCGGAAAAGCAUUUGAAACUGCCUUUCUUGAGGAUAGAUGGAGAAAACGGAAUUCCACAAGUAGCGGUGAAAUGCGUAGAUAUGUGGAAGAACACCGGUGGCGAAGGCGGUUUUCUAAUUUAUUCCUGACGUUGAGGCGCGAAAGCUAGGGGAGCAAACAGG